Leopardus geoffroyi (Geoffroy's cat) is the source of this 845-nucleotide long non-coding RNA. RefSeq lists it as uncharacterized. The record is from RefSeq and is a predicted model, not a curated record. NCBI's taxonomy places the organism in Eukaryota, Metazoa, Chordata, Mammalia, Carnivora, Felidae. The transcript has 2 exons.
GAUCGUCCUGUAAUUAGAGUCCCGCAGAACACAUGGUGAUUUAGAAAAAUUGUUACGAAAAGAUACAAGAAGACUUAGUUUUAUUCAAAACUCAAAUAAAACAGAGCAACUUUUCCCAUUUACUUUUUCUGGAACACCUCUGAACGUGUGUUUGUUAGAAACAGGUCUUUCUGGAGAUUUUCCUGGACAGAGUGUUUACUGAAAAAACCCAAGCAGUUUCUCAGUUAUGUAAUCUCCUGUGUUAUGUCUGCACCACCCCCUGACUAAAUGUAUCCAAAUGGAAAUUAAAAGUUCAGUCCAGGAUUUUUUUUUUUUUUUUUUUUUUUUAACACGAAUAAUGACCAUAUUGCAGCAAGGCAGAGGGAUGAGAAUAAUGAGACAAAGCCUGGGCAGAAGUUUCUUUCCCCCUUCUGUCUUCUCCUGAAACAUGGGGUUUUAGGGCCUUUCUGGUUACUGACUCUCAGAAGUCCUCACUCACUGUGGCUUCAAACAGAACUUGGUUUCCUAAGCCACCGUGACCAGUUUUAUAAUCUUCCUUUAAUAGCUAGCAGGUAUACAAAAGAGCUUGACGCAUUGGUUUACAAAUCAUGGGGACUCCUCUUGGGAACCAUUCGUGAAGCAAGCAAGACCUCUGCCCUCAACGAGCUUAAAGUCUAGAAGGGGGAGAUACAGGAUAAAAAAAUCGUACAUGACAAAUUACAUUGUGUGAGACAAGGGGACGGGGAGAGGUGGCCGGAUUUUAACCUGGCCUGGGAAGAAGGAAACGUGUUGACAAAGACUUGAGAAGCUGAAACAUCAAACAGGUGUGGGGGCAGAGCAUUUCAAACCGUAAAAACCACAAGUGC